This 22-nucleotide non-coding RNA is filed under the name Callorhinchus milii (elephant shark). The record is from RNAcentral. Lineage: Eukaryota; Metazoa; Chordata; Chondrichthyes; Chimaeriformes; Callorhinchidae. RNAcentral also lists the same sequence under 10 other names.
AGGCAGUGUAGUUAGCUGAUUG